Molecule: long non-coding RNA, 3296 nt
Organism: Triticum dicoccoides
Lineage: Eukaryota; Viridiplantae; Streptophyta; Magnoliopsida; Poales; Poaceae
Exons: 12
Source: RefSeq, a predicted model, not a curated record
AGUUGUGGCCUUCCGCUCCGCUUACGCUUACCGCUUUAUCAAACAUUGAUGGUGGGGUGCGGCUGCGACGGAGAUGAAGGAGGUUCGCCACCUGUCUUUGUCUCCUUGCUGCGUCCUUUGUUGUCGAUCAUCCCCUCUCCCUUCGCCCCUAGCAGCGCAAUAGUCGGGGACAAGGGGAAGGAGCAGGUUGACCCGACUCCAUCUCUCUGCACGAGGACUAGAGGAGCAGGUGGCGAGGGAAGCCGACACGGCCAGCGGCGGCCCUGCACAGGGACAUCCGCCUCCGGUUUUCCGUCCCGUCUCCCGAUCCCCUUCCGUUUAAGUGUGUUCUUUUUCCUCUUGGCCCGAUCUGCUCACAUGUUUGGGGUUUCGUGUUGUAGGGAUAAGAUCUGGUGCGGGAGGUGUGGUAUACUGCAUAGGUGUAUAAUCUUGGCUAUGAUCUAUGCUGGUGAUUUGGCUAUCGACUGCUAAAUCUACGAAUCAUCUGAAAAUGAGGAUGUUGAUGUUAAAGCAUUUGGUUUUGAUGGAUCAUAUUAUUGGUUCUCUGUUCAACUGAAGAUGUCUUCAGAUAGGACUAAGGUGAGUUGAGUUGUGGCUUGGUUGGAUAUGUUGAUGCUGUUUGAGACGCCCGCUGGAUUCACCCUUUUCAAGGUUCUGAACAAGGGCAAGCUCGACAAGGUCGAGGGGUAUAUGGACCACAAAUGAUGUGAUAUACUUCGUUAUUUCAACAUGAGUACGGCUCAGCAGGAAGGUCAACCGUGGGGAGGCGCAACAUAACGCGGCCUCAGCCAAUUAGGUGUCCCCUCUCUUUGCCCAUUGCUUCUACAAAACUCUGAUUUUGUUUGGCUUAUGAAGACACAUUCAUCCUGCAAGUACAAUCAUGAUUAAGAGUUUGAACGCCCUUGCACAUCGGUUUACUUUCUUACAUUGAUUGGUGUGUCUUAUGCCUUAUAUAAUACGCCUUCUCACAUAAUAGUUUGGUAAAGAAAGAGUGAACUCACUCUUGAAUUUUACACUAAUUAUACUUAUUUCACUAUUAAUAAUUUGUAUUUGCUAUAUCUUCUCUCAUGAGUUCGUCAAGUUCCUUUCUCAACAUGCUUAGAUGCUUUUCUAUCGGAAAUUUUGUGCAACAUCAGAAGUAAUGGUUGAUCGGUUUAGCCUUUGUAUCGGUUACAUAUGUAUAUAUGUCAUUGGCCUAGCUAACAUUGUGUGUCAGUAAUUUAUGCUUUCUUUCUUUGGAAUAAUUAUGCCUAGCUGGAAAUAGAGCGGAGUCAGGUACAUGCCUGUUACUACUCUUUUUGCGGUCUAAACUGUUCCUUAAACUAAACCAGUAACCUGACGGUAUUUUGUGUUUAACUAGUAUCAUUCUUAUCACAGUGAGUACUAUAUUAUUCAGUUAACAUCUGCAGGUGUGCCCUCUCCCUGUGCGCCGCGUGCAUGUCGCCAUUUGCAGGAGUGUGGGGCAAGCCAUGUCCUCGAAAGCCCAAUCCCCUCGCCCGCACACCGCACGCCACACCCCUCCCUCGCUCCCUCCUCGAACCCUCUUCCUCGCCAGCCGCCAUGAAACCACCAACCCUAGCCUCCCCAUCUCCCUUGCGUAUGACCAUGAUGGCGGCUGGGUCGGCCAGAGGCAGAAGGCCAUGGUGAUUCCGAUGUCUGCAUGCGGAAGUGGCAGCGGUUCAUGGAGCGGAGCGAGUCCACCUCCCGUCGUUCUAGCCACAGCCUCUGCGCCGCCUCCGCUUCCUCCUCCUAUUCGUAGGAGCUUCAAUGAGGUUGCUCACCAAUGAGCUGGAAGGUUUUUUGUCCUGGGUACCUGCAACUCACUUUGUUAAUUACGACAACACCAUUUCAUAUUUAAAUUUAAUACUCCCUCCCUUCUUUAAAAGAAGGCAUGUCAGUUUUGGUCAAAGUCAAACAAUGUAAAGUUUGACCAAGUUAAUCCAACAAACUUGUGUGUCUUCUUUCCUAGCAUGGAGGGAGUACUUAGUUUGAUUACUACAUCUACAGUUUAUUUUUGCUUCUACUUCUACUUCUACUGUAUUUCUGUACUUAAAUUCAAAUUAUUUCUGCACCUACUUUAUUUCUACUUCUAGCCCGCCCUGUGUUCUAAUGAAUUCAUCUACGAGGGUGUUGUUCCAUUUUCAUCCACUGAAGGUUUUCUCACUUCUACAUAGGUGCUCCAUUAUUUCUUUUCCUAUUUAGAUUUUCUGUUUUGUGAAAUGGCAAACGCUAAAUUCUGCAACGACACUUUCUUUAAGCAUUGUGUUCGAUUUUUCCUCGGGUUUUCUAAACAUGAAGUGUAUAGAUCUGAGGAUGAAGAGAAGAAGAAUUUAUCUAAAAGGGUGAAGAAGAUCAAGGGGGUGAGAGGCGGAUAACAAUACAAGAAGGAGCAUGCCAUCAAGGAGUGCAAGCAGCGGCACUCCUCCGCAAUGGGGUAUGGCUGCAGGGGAGGGGACGCGGCCAACGACAUGAAGAAGGAGCAGGUCGUCGAGGACUACAAGUAGCAGGUUUCCUUUGACUAGAAGUCUGAAAGUGAAGAUAGGGCAUAUUGUUUUGGUUCUGAGUGGCCGGAGAUAUUGUGGCUUGAUGUCCCUAGAGCAGUCAGACCCUUCCAAGAUAGAAGAUCUUUGGGAUUGACGUUCUGAUGAGAAAGUAGCAUACAGAUGGAUGGAUAUGAACUAUUCAGUGGUCGAACUGCGCUAUAUUUCGUUCAUUGAGGCGAGGGUGAUUCCAGUAGAUUUUGCUUGGCGUACUCGUCUUUUUUAUUGAAGUUGGGUGUCUGUCUUCUCUGCGGCAAGGAAAUGACUUUAUUUGGAAAAUGGCAAUAUCGUUUACAAGUAUACAUGAAACAAGCUAUUUUUCCUACACCUCUUUGGUUUGUGUAAUGGUGCUCUUGGUUGAGUGUGCUGACGAAAGAGAUUCCAUGCUACAGGCUAGAUCUAUGCUAUCGCGGCAACACAGGCCAAUACACAUUCAGGAAAUAUGUCACCAACUUCCCCAAGGCCCCGCAUCGUCUACUCAGGAUAUUUUGUGCCCCAAGCCCUACAGAAUAAUGCCCAGUCUAAUUUCAGGAGUGGGCAUGACAGCCUCAAACUUCUCUCUUCAAUAUUGAAGAAGCGACUUACUCAGAUCAAUGGGCAUGCACUUAGAAAAAUAGCUAAAGAGUACGAGAUAUUCCUAGAGUAAAUAAAGGGCAUGCUGUGCUCAUAAGUUAGACAGAAGCAAAAUGUUAUUUAUUAUGCUCCCGUUGUAUCCUCGGACAUUUUCUUCCACCUACCAAUACCCCAUUAUUGAAU